This 253-nucleotide ribosomal RNA is filed under the name uncultured bacterium. RNAcentral's name for it is "partial 16S ribosomal RNA". It matches the Rfam family "Bacterial small subunit ribosomal RNA", at positions 524 to 776 of the family's 1533-position model. The record is from RNAcentral.
UACGUAGGGGGCAAGCGUUAUCCGGAUUUACUGGGUGUUAAGGGGGCGCAGACGGCGAUGCAAGCCAGGAGUGAAAGCCCGGGGCCCAACCCCGGGACUGCUCUUGGAACUGCGUGGCUGGAGUGCGGGAGGGGCAGGCGGAAUUCCUGGUGUAGCGGUGAAACGCGUAGAUAUCAGGAGGAACACCGGUGGCGAAGGCGGCCUGCUGGACUGCAACUGACGUUGAGGCCCGAAAGCGUGGGGAGCAAACAGG